GACGAACGCUGGCGGCGUGCUUAACACAUGCAAGUCGAACGGAAAGGCCUUCUUUGCCUGGUGGUUUGCGGGGACUCGAGUGGCCAACGGGUGAGUAACACGGGAGUGAUUUUUCCCUAACUUGUGAAUAAGGGAGGGAAACUGUGAUAAAGCCUCCGUCCGACUGGUGGGAGGUGCCGGUGGUCGGACAUUGUGCUCUUGUAGGAGGCGAUGAGGUCGCGGCCUAUCAGCUUGGUGGUGGGGUACUGGGGCAACAAGGCGGCGACGGGUAGCCGGCCUGAGAGGGUGGACGGGGACAUUGGGACUGAGAUACGGCCCAGACUGGUAGGGGAGGCAGCAGUGGGGAGUAUUGGAGGAGGAGCGGAAGCCUGAUGCAGCGGCGCGGGGUAGGAGAUGACGGCGUUCGGGUUGUACACUCCUUUCGACAGCGAGGAAGCCACUUGGUUGGAAGGGUGGUGACGGUAGUGGUAGAAGAAGCACCGGCUAACUACGUG
Molecule: ribosomal RNA, 494 nt
Filed under: uncultured bacterium
Lineage: Bacteria
Description: partial 16S ribosomal RNA
Rfam family: Bacterial small subunit ribosomal RNA
Source: RNAcentral